ACCAGUGGCACCAUGGGUCAGUGCAUUUGGCUGUUAAUCAGAUGGUCGGUGAUUCGAGCCCACCCAGGGACG
Non-coding RNA from Podarcis lilfordi (Lilford's wall lizard), 72 nucleotides. The record is from the annotation of a GenBank genome assembly. Lineage: Eukaryota; Metazoa; Chordata; Lepidosauria; Squamata; Lacertidae.